This 294-nucleotide ribosomal RNA is filed under the name uncultured bacterium. RNAcentral's name for it is "partial 16S ribosomal RNA". It matches the Rfam family "Bacterial small subunit ribosomal RNA", at positions 44 to 334 of the family's 1533-position model. The record is from RNAcentral.
GUGCUUAACACAUGCAAGUCGAGUGCGCGUCCGUAGCAAUACGGAUGGCGCACGGCGCACGGGUGCGUAACACGUGGGCAAUCUGCCCUCAGAUGGGGGAUAACCCCGCGAAAGCGGGGCUAAUACCGCAUGACAUUCCGGAGACCACGGUCUCUGGACUCAAAGGCCGCAAGGCCGUCAGAGGAGGAGCCCGCGCCCGAUUAGCUAGUUGGUGAGGUAACGGCUCACCAAGGCUUUGAUCGGUAGCCGGUCUGAGAGGAUGGCCGGCCACACUGGAACUGAGACACGGUCCAG